UGGUAGAUGCACCCUGAAUUCAAUCCCUGGCUUCGGCUGGGGAUUUUUUUG
This 51-nucleotide small RNA is filed under the name stromatolite metagenome. Its description in RNAcentral is "Nitrogen stress-induced RNA 1". It matches the Rfam family "Nitrogen stress-induced RNA 1". The record is from Rfam by way of RNAcentral.